GUAUGGGGGCAAGCGUUGUUCGGAUUCACUGGGCGUAAAGGGCGUGUAGGCGGCGUGGUAAGUCGGAUGUGAAAUCUCCAGGGCUCAACCUGGAAACUGCAUUCGAAACUGCCAUGCUUGAGUACCGGAGAGGGAAACGGAAUUCCUGGUGUAGGGGUGAAAUCUGUAGAUAUCAGGAAGAACACCGGUGGCGAAGGCGGUUUCCUGGCCGGAUACUGACGCUGAGGCGCGAAAGCUAGGGGAGCAAACAGGAUUAGAUACCCUGGUAGUCCUAGCUGUAAACGUUGUGCACUAGGUGUAAGUGGUUUCAACCCACUUGUGCCGUAGCUAACGCAUUAAGUGCACCGCCUGGGGAGUAUGCUCGCAAGGGUG
This 372-nucleotide ribosomal RNA is filed under the name uncultured organism. RNAcentral describes it as "partial 16S ribosomal RNA". It matches the Rfam family "Bacterial small subunit ribosomal RNA", at positions 526 to 896 of the family's 1533-position model. The record is from RNAcentral.